RNAcentral lists this ribosomal RNA (301 nucleotides) under uncultured bacterium. RNAcentral's name for it is "partial 16S ribosomal RNA". It matches the Rfam family "Bacterial small subunit ribosomal RNA", at positions 509 to 807 of the family's 1533-position model. The record is from RNAcentral.
CAGCCGCCGCGGUAAUACAGAGGGUGCGAGCGUUAAUCGGAUUUACUGGGCGUAAAGCGUGCGUAGGCGGCUUCUUAAGUCGGAUGUGAAAUCCCUGAGCUUAACUUAGUAAUUGCAUUCGAUACUGGGAAGCUAGAGUAUGGGAGAGGAUGGUAGAAUUCCAGGUGUAGCGGUGAAAUGCGUAGAGAUCUGGAGGAAUACCGAUGGCGAAGGCAGCCAUCUGGCCUAAUACUGACGCUGAGGUACGAAAGCAUGGGGAGCAAACAGGAUUAGAGACCCCAGUAGUCCCUGUCUCUUAUAC